AUUGAACGCUGGCGGCAUGCCUUACACAUGCAAGUCGACCGGCAGCACGGGAGCUUGCUCCUGGUGGCGAGUGGCGAACGGGUGAGUAAUACAUCGGAACGUACCCUGAAGUGGGGGAUAACGUAGCGAAAGUUACGCUAAUACCGCAUAUUCUGUGAGCAGGAAAGAGGGGGAUCGCAAGACCUCUUGCUUUAGGAGCGGCCGAUGUCGGAUUAGCUAGUUGGUGAGGUAAAGGCUCACCAAGGCGACGAUCCGUAGCGGGUCUGAGAGGAUGAUCCGCCACACUGGGACUGAGACACGGCCCAGACUCCUACGGGAGGCAGCAGUGGGGAAUUUUGGACAAUGGGCGCAAGCCUGAUCCAGCCAUGCCGCGUGAGUGAAGAAGGCCU
RNAcentral lists this ribosomal RNA (389 nucleotides) under uncultured bacterium. Its description in RNAcentral is "bacterial SSU rRNA". It matches the Rfam family "Bacterial small subunit ribosomal RNA", at positions 30 to 417 of the family's 1533-position model. The record is from RNAcentral.